Molecule: ribosomal RNA, 387 nt
Filed under: Endomicrobium sp.
Lineage: Bacteria; Pseudomonadati; Elusimicrobiota; Endomicrobiia; Endomicrobiales; Endomicrobiaceae
Description: bacterial SSU rRNA
Rfam family: Bacterial small subunit ribosomal RNA
Source: RNAcentral
UUUAUGGAGAGUUUGAUCCUGGCUCAGAGUGAACGCUGGCGGCGUGCUUAACACAUGCAAGUCGCGCGGGAUUCUGCAGAGUAUCGCAGAGUCUAGCGGCAAACGGGUGAGUAACACGUAGGAAACCUCCCUCAAAAUGGGGAAUAUCUCCGAGAAAUCGGAGUUAAUACCGCAUAAAACCACAGUUUGGCAUCAAACUAGGGGUUAAAGCAGUAAUGCGUUUUGAGAUGGUCCUGCGGCCUAUCAGCUAGUUGGUAGGGUAACGGCCUACCAAGGCUAUGACGGGUAUCCGGCCUGAAAGGGUGAACGGACACACUGGAACUGAGACACGGUCCAGACUCCUACGGGAGGCAGCAGUGGGGAAUUUUGGACAAUGGGGGAAACCCU